ACCCAGACUCCUACGGGAGGCAGCAGUGAGGAAUAUUGGGCAAUGGAGGCAACUCUGACCCAGCCAUGCCGCGUGAGUGAAGAAGGUUUUCGGAUUGUAAAGCUCUUUCGGAUGUGACGAUGAUGACGGUAGCAUCUAAAGAAGCCCCGGCUAACUUCGUGCCAGCAGCCGCGGUAAUACGAAGGGGGCAAGCGUUGUUCGGAAUUACUGGGCGUAAAGGGUGCGCAGGCGGCUCUGCAAGUCAGGCGUGAAAGCUAGGGGCUCAACCCCUAAACUGCGCUUGAAACUGUGGAGCUUGAGUGAAGUAGAGGCAGGCGGAAUUCCCGGUGUAGCGGUGAAAUGCGUAGAGAUCGGGAGGAACACCAGUGGCGAAGGCGGCCUGCUGGGCUUUAACUGACGCUCAGGCACGAAAGCAUGGGUAGCAAACAGGAUUAGAUACCCUCGUAA
RNAcentral lists this ribosomal RNA (447 nucleotides) under uncultured bacterium. RNAcentral describes it as "partial 16S ribosomal RNA". It matches the Rfam family "Bacterial small subunit ribosomal RNA", at positions 329 to 793 of the family's 1533-position model. The record is from RNAcentral.